GGGGGGGGGCAAGCGUUGUUCGGAAUUACUGGGCGUAAAGGGCGCGCAGGCGGCCCGGCCAGUCCUACGUGAAAUCCCACAGCUCAACUGUGGAACUGCGUGGGAUACUGCCAGGCUUGAGUCCGGGAGAGGAGAGUGGAAUUCCCAGUGUAGCGGUGAAACGCGUAGAUAUUGGGAGGAACACCGGUGGCGAAGGCGGCUCUCUGGACCGGCACUGACGCUGAGGCGCGAAAGCUAGGGGAGCAAACGGGAUUAGAUACCCCGGUAGUCCUAGCCCUAAACGAUGAGCACUUUGUGUGGCGGGUAUCGACCCCUGCCGUGCAGAAGCUAACGCAUUAAGUGCUCCGCCUGGGGAGUACGGUCGCAAGGCUG
This 372-nucleotide ribosomal RNA is filed under the name uncultured organism. RNAcentral describes it as "partial 16S ribosomal RNA". It matches the Rfam family "Bacterial small subunit ribosomal RNA", at positions 526 to 896 of the family's 1533-position model. The record is from RNAcentral.